AUCAGCAGCAUAUAUGCUUUGAUCUUUAAUGUCUUUCUUUACUUCAUUGUUAUUGUUAUUACUUCUUGGGAUGUCAAUCAUACCAUAGUAAGCAUUGCUAUUUUUCCUAUUCAAUUUGAUUAAGACAGUAAUUCAACUUUUCAGGCUAAGUUUAUUAAAACUGAGAAGAAUGUGAAAGAGUUGAGCAGUUGAAAGAGCGGCUUUCGCUGAAGAUGAUAUGAACCGUGGCCUGUCCGAGCUUCAAUGCUUAUUUUCUUCAUUAAUAUACUCAAAGCGUUUAGCUCAACUUCUAUGAUGCUGCUGGCUCAUCAACUGCAUCUCUCAUCUCUUGUUCAGACCCAAUGUGUGCUUCGACUGAGUGCUGUCUAUUAUGCGUCAGAUUUAUUAUAUUUUGACACAGUCCUCGCGACCUCACUGAUUGCCAACUCUUCAGCACAAAAAUCCAACUGAAAUUCUGUACCUAUUGCAAUUCCAUGAUGUUAAAAGCUAUAGUAUGGUAAUAAACAACAAAUGUAUGUUCCAGCAGAAUAUUCAAAAAGCUUGAAAACCACCAGACAAUAAUAAUGACAAACACGAAUUCUAAGUAUCAAUUCCAACAAAAAAUAAGUAAUAAAUUUUCUUCUCUCUUUUUUGGUUUCUAAUUGACUGAAUACCACAGUUUUUUCCUUCUCAUUACUUUUAUCUUUUGCUUUGCAGAUUCAUGAAAUCCAUCCAAGAAGGUGGCCAGGGAGGAUCAGUGGAAUUGUCCAGAUAAAGUGAUAUGAAUAGGCAUCUCAUAUGAGCAGCUUAUACUGUAGAACAACAUGGACUGGUAGAAGAGCCUUGUAGACAGAGUUGAGCAGUAUGAAAGUUGAAAAUACAGCCUAAGGAUGCUUUCCACACAAUUGACGUGCAAGGACAACUUCAGUAAAAAAAAAAAAGAAAAAAAAUACCAUCCAUGAAAUGGAUGAUCAAGUGAAAUAUUACUUUGAUACAUAUAUUCUUUACAAUUAACUCAAUUUAUUUGUGACUACCGCAACAAAUAAAGAGAACUUUAGAAUUGUUGGGCCCAUGCGAAGCAUGGGCAAGAUUAUCUAGUAGCUCUAUAUACAUGUGAUAGUUUUAUUAAUGACUCUUUUUGUCAGUUUAGCA
Non-coding RNA from Nicotiana tabacum (common tobacco), 1131 nucleotides. Lineage: Eukaryota; Viridiplantae; Streptophyta; Magnoliopsida; Solanales; Solanaceae. The record is from RefSeq and is a predicted model, not a curated record.